Molecule: unclassified non-coding RNA, 520 nt
Filed under: uncultured Glomus
Lineage: Eukaryota; Fungi; Glomeromycota; Glomeromycetes; Glomerales; Glomeraceae
Description: SSU rRNA
Rfam family: Eukaryotic small subunit ribosomal RNA
Source: RNAcentral
AGCAGCCGCGGUAAUUCCAGCUCCAAUAGCGUAUAUUAAAGUUGUUGCAGUUAAAAGCUCGUAGUUGAAUUUCGGGGUUAGUAGGUUGGUCAUGCCUCUGGUAUGUACUGGUCUCACUGAUUCCUCCUUCCUGAUGAACCUUAAUGCCAUUAAUUUGGUGUUUUGGGGAAUUUGGACUGUUACUUUGAAAAAAUUAGAGUGUUUAAAGCAAGCUAACGCUUGAAUACAUUAGCAUGGAAUAAUGAAAUAGGACGUUCGAUCCUAUUUUGUUGGUUUCUAGGAUUGACGUAAUGAUUAAUAGGGAUAGUUGGGGGCAUUAGUAUUCAAUUGUCAGAGGUGAAAUUCUUGGAUUUAUUGAAGACUAACUACUGCGAAAGCAUUUGCCAAGGAUGUUUUCAUUAAUCAAGAACGAAAGUUAGGGAUCGAAGACGAUCAGAUACCGUCGUAGUCUUAACCAUAAACUAUGCCGACUAGGGAUCGGAUGAUGUUAAUUUUUUAAUGACUCAUUCGGCGCCUUACG